This 73-nucleotide transfer RNA is filed under the name Candidatus Wallbacteria bacterium GWC2_49_35. RNAcentral's name for it is "tRNA-Arg". It matches the Rfam family "tRNA". Rfam says of the family: Transfer RNA (tRNA) molecules are approximately 80 nucleotides in length. Their secondary structure includes four short double-helical elements and three loops (D, anti-codon, and T loops). Lineage: Bacteria; Candidatus Walliibacteriota. The record is from RNAcentral. RNAcentral also lists the same sequence under 2 other names.
GUGCCCGUGGCUCAAUGGAUAGAGCAGUGGAUUCCGGAUCCAAAGGUUGUAGGUUCGACUCCUAUCGGGCACA